CAUCAUUUUGCUAUGCCUUGUAGUACUGCCGCUCUAGUCUCGCUUCAAAACCAUUCGGAAAUAACUCGAUACAUUUGAAACAAAAAUGUUUAAAAACCACUGGCUGGGUUAAAUAUUAGCAAGUCCUUAUUAAAAAAAUGGAAAGAAAAAAGUUUAAUAUUAACCUCGACGACUCUGCUUUCACUAAGAAAAGAACACCGGUGAAGCCCUUGUUUCAGCCGUCAUCAAAGGCAGGCCUCACUGUCUCAACCAAGUCUGAAUCUUCUUAUCAGCCAGUACCACCUCUAUCUGCCGGCCAACCACAAUCCUAUGCAGAAUUCGUCGUCCAGAGCAGUAGCCACGCAUGUCAUCCUCCACCUCGCCUUCCUUCCAACCUGCACAAUGAAGACGGCGUGUCAAGGGCGACAGCUGACAACGCAGAAAGAAUCACAGGAGACGAGCUUGCCACUUCUAGGCCGGGUCCUAGUCUAGAGGUUCCUGGUGGGUCUGACAUGGGUUCAUCCUCCGCUGUUGGGUCUGUGAAGCCCUGCGAAGCGCUUAGAGAGGCUGGGGGGGGCAGUGAUGGAGGUGGAACUCCAGGAGGUGAGCAGGAGGAGGGCCGAGGUGCUGGGAGGGACCAGCAACAGGCGGAGGGUCACAAGGUUGGCCCAAGCAGCCUGGGCCCCAGACCGGUGGGAUCAGGGAACAGCAUCAUUGUCAGCCCUCGACAGAGAGGAAAUCCAGUUCUGAAGUUUGUGAGGAGCGUUCCCUGGGAGUUUGGAGAAGUGGUGCCUGACUAUGUCCUGGGACAGACCACGUGUUCUCUCUUUCUCAGUCUGAGAUACCAUAACCUCAACCCUAACUACAUCCAUGACCGUCUAAAACAGCUAGGACAAACCUUCACGCUCAGGGUCCUCCUGUUGCAAGUGGAUGUGAAGGAUCCACACCAUUCGCUGAAAGAGCUGGCUCGGAUCUGCAUCAUGGCUGACUGCACUCUCAUCCUGGCCUGGAGUCCUGAGGAGGCAGGGCGCUACCUGGAGACGUUCAAGUCCUACGAGAAGAAACCUGCUGACCUGCUGAAGGAGCAGGUGGAGAAGGACUACCUGUCUAAGGUGACUGACUGCCUGACCACAGUUAAGUCUGUCAACAAGACAGACGCCAUAACCAUGCUGUCCACCUUCUCUUCCAUCGAGGGUAUCAUCAAGGCUUCUAAAGAAGACCUGGUGUUGUGCCCCGGGCUGGGGCCACAGAAGGCCCGGCGUCUCUAUGAUGUGCUCCACCAACCCUUCUUAAAGUCCAGGAAGAAGGAGAGCUGACUGGGACUUUUUUCCAGUCUUCAACAGGGCCUGGCCCCUGCCUGGCCCCUGUCUGGCCCCUGCCUGGCCCCUGCCUGGCCCCUGUCUGGCCCCUGUCUGGCUCACCUAUUUCACACUGUAACCUACAGCAACAAUGCUUGUUGGUUUGUUAAAUGAGGACAGGAAAUCUCUUGUACAGAACUGUGGUUUAGUGCUGAACCAAGCCUUGGCUUGCUUCCAAUAUGAAACUUUACAGUUAUAUAUUUGAAGAGAAUGGAGCAUCAUGAAAAGAGGCUAGUGGUGUUCAUUAACCACAUGGAGAGAUUCAUUAUUUGACUUGAAAUGCCUUUUGGAAAGGAAUUGAAACGACAAUAUGCGGUGUUUAGUCUUUUUACGACAAUUAUGUGGUUAUUAGGUACAUAUUCUACGUUGCCAGUAAAUGUUUUUUGGUAUUUCAUAGCAUUUUUUCAAUAAAGCUUAAAAUCAAUUCCAAAUGAGUC
RNA transcript from Osmerus eperlanus (European smelt), 1774 nucleotides. It is a transcript of the gene named excision repair cross-complementation group 1, with no coding region annotated. The record is from RefSeq and is a predicted model, not a curated record. The transcript is spliced from 10 exons. Lineage: Eukaryota; Metazoa; Chordata; Actinopteri; Osmeriformes; Osmeridae.